GUGCCAGCAGCCGCGGUAAGACGAAGGGGGCUAGCGUUGUUCGGAAUUACUGGGCGUAAAGGGCGCGCAGGCGGCUUUGCAAGUCAGGCGUUAAAGACCCAGGCUCAACCUGGGGAAUGCGCUUGAUACUGCAGAGCUUGAGAUCGGAAGAGGAGAGUGGAAUUCCCAGUGUAGAGGUGAAAUUCGUAGAUAUUGGGAAGAACACCAGUGGCGAAGGCGGCUCUCUGGUCCGAUUCUGACGCUGAGGCGCGAAAGCGUGGGGAGCAAACAGGAUUAGAUACCCUGGUAGUCC
This 292-nucleotide ribosomal RNA is filed under the name uncultured bacterium. RNAcentral's name for it is "partial 16S ribosomal RNA". It matches the Rfam family "Bacterial small subunit ribosomal RNA", at positions 505 to 796 of the family's 1533-position model. The record is from RNAcentral.